This is a non-coding RNA of Schistosoma rodhaini, 48 nucleotides long. NCBI's taxonomy places the organism in Eukaryota, Metazoa, Platyhelminthes, Trematoda, Strigeidida, Schistosomatidae. The record is from Rfam.
AUCCAGCUGACGAGUCCCAAAUAGGAUGAAACACGCGUCAAACUGGAU